CAGCGGGUGUGUAGGUGGCAGCAGAGGAGUCCCCGCAGGGGGCAGAGCCGUCGAGUGACGGAACGAGGCGAACGUGGCGGUCUCUGCCUUUGGGCCUCUUCCAGGGAGGAGAAUCGAGGAGGCGGAGAGCCCGCCUGGCUCCUCCCAAGUUGCAGGGACAGGUCUGAAGCUGGAGCUUCAGGAGGCGGGGAGUGGAUGGGUGGGCUCCUUACUUUCUCCGCUCGCUCUGCACCCGGAAGGGGACUCUGAGCGGCAGCUGAGCGCAGGGCUCCUAGACCACACUCCGCACCCCGCAUCCCACACCCCGCACUCCGCACCCCGCAUCCCACACCCCGCACUCCGCACCCCGCAUUCCGCAUCCUGCCUCCGGCAAGCGCCGCUCUGGGACCCCUGGGUCUCCUUUGCUGGGAUCAGACCUGCCUGCCGGUGAAAUCCUAGGGCAGCCCGCACAGAAUCCAUCCCAAAGAGACCGCCUGUUGUUGCUGGCGCAAUCAGGGAGCGGCGCCUGCGGGCGGCUGCCCUCCGGGGACCGCUCGCCUGGGUUGCGCGCCGCUGGGGACUUGGCGUGAACCGGAAAGCGGGCGCGCGGUCUCGGAGCUCAGCCCUGGCCGCAGGCUCCAAGAGCCGCUGUGGGGGCGGGUGCCGCUCUGUGGCCCCAGGCGCCCAGGCUCACCUGGCGUUUCUAAAUUGUAAAAAGUUUUCAUCAGUUGGUAUGCGCUGAGCAACACUCAGAUCGGAAAAUAAUACCAGAAACUACCAGCCCCCCUCCCCGCGCUGAUUUGAAUGCUUCUUAGAUGGGCCCUGGAUUCUAGUCCUGCUGUACAUACCCACUUUUCAGUGUAAGAGGAAGCAACCACAGCUCUCUAGACACACUCGUGCGGCCAACCUCAUGAAACAGGAGUGCAUAGUACAAAGAGCAGUUUCAGAAGCUCUUAUUGGCCAGCGCAAUCCAGCAGAAGUAGUUUUCAAGGUUUAUCUUCAGAAUAGGAUCUAGAAGUGGGACUGUGGUCAAAAGAGACAGAAGCUUGCUCUGUUGCUCAUGCUGGGAUGCAAUGGCAUGAUGAUAGCUCAGUGACUGCAGCCUUGAACUCCUGGGCUCAAGUGAUCCUCCUGCUUCAGUCUUCCAAGUAGCUGAGACUACAAUUGCAACUACACCUGUUUUAUUUUUUAAAAUUUAUUUUUUUGAGAUGGGGUCUUGCAAUGUUGGCCAUGCUGGUCUCAAACUUCUGGGCCCAAGUGAUCCUCCAGCCUCAGCCUCCCAAAGUGCUGGAAUUACAGGCCUGAGCCACCACACCUGGCCUCAGUUUUAAAGAGUUCUUUAUACGUUAGAGAUAUUAACCCUUUGAAUGUGGAAUAUGUUGCAAAUAUCUUCUCCCAGUUUGUUGUCUUUUGACUUUGUUCACGGUACUUUUUUGGCAUGUAAUUAAAAAAAAUAUAUGUAGUCUAAUGUAAAAAAAAAUUAUGUAGUCAAAUAUUUUCUUUUAUUGCCUCUAGAUUUUUGAGUUAUAGUUUAAAAGCCUUCCUCUGCACUGAGAUUAAGAGGAAUUCAACCAUGUUUUCUUUUUUUUUUGAGACGGAGUUUCACUCUUGUUGCCCAGGCUGGAGCGCAGUGGCAUGAUGUUGGCUCACCACAACCUCUGCUACCUGGGUUCAAGCAAUUCUCAGCCUCCCAAGUAGCUGGGAUUACAGGUGUGUGCCCCAUGCUUGGCUAAUUUUGUAUUUUUAGUAGAGACAGGGUUUCACCACGUUGGUCAGGCUGGUCUGGAACUCCUGUCCUCAAGUGAUCCACCCAUCUUGGCCCCCCAAAUUGCUGGGAUUAUAGUGUGAGCCACCAUGCCCAGCCUCCUGUUUUCUUCUAGUACUUUCAUGGCGUCAUGUUUUACAUUGAGCUCCCUAUCCAUCUAGAGUUUAUUUUUGUGUAUAGUGUGAGCUCUGUAUCUAAUUUUCUCUUUUUUCCAGCAACAAACCAGUCAUUCCAACACUAUUUAUUAAAAGUCCACAUUGUUCCAUCCAGAGAUUUAAGAUGCUAUCUGUAUCAUAUACAUUUCUGCAUGUACCAAGCGCCUAAAUUUGAUAAGCACAAAUCUGAAAGAGAGAAAAAUAGCUAAAAUAAAUAGGUCCAGAUGA
Long non-coding RNA from Callithrix jacchus (white-tufted-ear marmoset), 2127 nucleotides. RefSeq lists it as uncharacterized. Lineage: Eukaryota; Metazoa; Chordata; Mammalia; Primates; Cebidae. The record is from RefSeq and is a predicted model, not a curated record.